UACGUAGGGUGCAAGCGUUGUCCGGAAUUAUUGGGCGUAAAGAGCGUGUAGGCGGCCGUACAGGUCAGCUGUGAAAACUCGAGGCUCAACCUCGAGACGUCGGUUGAAACCGUACGGCUAGAGUCCGGAAGAGGAGAGUGGAAUUCCCGGUGUAGCGGUGAAAUGCGCAGAUAUCGGGAAGAACACCCGUGGCGAAGGCGAGUCCCUGGACAACACCUGACACUGAGGCACGAAAGCUAGGGGAGCAAACAGG
RNAcentral lists this ribosomal RNA (253 nucleotides) under uncultured bacterium. RNAcentral's name for it is "partial 16S ribosomal RNA". It matches the Rfam family "Bacterial small subunit ribosomal RNA", at positions 524 to 776 of the family's 1533-position model. The record is from RNAcentral.